AAUAUUGGACAAUGGGGGCAACCCUGAUCCAGCCACGCCGCGUGUGUGAAGACGGUCUUCGGAUUGUAAAGCACUUUAAGUUGGGAGGAAGGGCUUUAGGUUAAUACUCUGAAGUUUUGACGUUACCAACAGACUAAGCACCGCCUAACUCUGUGCUAGCAGCCGCGGUAAUACAAAGGGUGGAAGCGUUAAUCGGAAUUACUGGGCGUAAAGCGCACGUAGGUGGUGCAGUAAGAUGGGUGUGAAAUCCCCGGGCUUAACCUGGGGACUGCUUUCAUAACUGCUGAGCUAGAGUACGGUAGAAGGUAGUGGAAUUUCCUAUGUAGCGGUGAAAUGCGUAGAUAUAGAGAGGAACACCAGUGGCGAAGGCGACUACCUGGACUGAUACUGACACUGAGGUGCGAAAGCGUGGGGAGCAAAC
This 421-nucleotide ribosomal RNA is filed under the name uncultured bacterium. RNAcentral's name for it is "partial 16S ribosomal RNA". It matches the Rfam family "Bacterial small subunit ribosomal RNA", at positions 360 to 773 of the family's 1533-position model. The record is from RNAcentral.